Long non-coding RNA from Silurus meridionalis, 2214 nucleotides. RefSeq lists it as uncharacterized. The transcript is spliced from 3 exons. Lineage: Eukaryota; Metazoa; Chordata; Actinopteri; Siluriformes; Siluridae. The record is from RefSeq and is a predicted model, not a curated record.
CGGUCGGUUUUACAGGAACGGAGUUACAGACCGCAAACGUACGCGGCUGUAUAUUUGCGGGAACAUUUUCUGAUGUUGACAAGCGUGUAAGGGGCUUCCUGUUGGUGGUCUGCACGAGGGGUGUUCAAGGGUGGGAACGGAGAGGAAGUGGUUCGGUCCGCUGAGCUCUGGCAGAAUUUGUAAAUGUAUGAUCUAGAUCGGAGGACGACAAGGAGAUGAAAGUGUGAGAGAGAGAGAGAGAGAGAGAGAGAGAGAGAGAGAGAGAGAAAUGAAAUGAGCAAUGGAGACAGAAGCAAAGAGCGCUAGGCCUGGUGCGAGUGUGAAGAGUGUGCGUGUGUGUCUGAUUAAUAUUCAUCAGGCGGAGAAGGCAGAUGUGUCUGACAUCUGUGUGAUGUCAGCGUGUUGUCAACACAUUGUUAGCACUGCAAACGUGCAAACAGAUUAACGGGCUGCGCCGCCUUCUCCGAGUGCGAAAAAAAGAAGCGAUUGCGGAGGAAGAAGGGAAGACAGCUUGUUCCUUCACUUCUUCCUGCCGAGCUUCCGAUGCUCGGCUGCUGCCGCCGAUGGUGUAAAGACGCUCCUCGUGCCAAGCCUCGGCUCGAGCGACUCAUUCUUCCUAAUUAAUCGUUUCCAAGCAGCAACCGGAGUUGAGGUGCGACCUGCUGUUGAUUGACAGACAAUAAGCUCCGCCUCCCUGCUUAAAAGAGAGAAAAUGCAGCUCUCAUCCAGCGAACACCUUCUCCAGACUCCAGAGUGCAGAAGAUUAGAGAGAGAGAAGCAGCCGUGCUCAGGGAGCAGCAUCUGUGCUUCACACUCAGCCGAGCAGUCGCUACCUCAAACGUGACGCUGGAGUGGAGACCAUGUCAAAGCUUCUGGAGUAAGCAGAGCUCACAAUUGAACCCUUGACACCGGGGACACUAUCGUCACCUUCUGCGACACCAGGGAACUCGGGAUCUGUGGAUUACUGCAAAACUUCUACCAGAAUGCCACACACAAGCAUCAGAGGCCACGCCUCCUUUACUCAGACUGGUGCUUUGAGACACAGGAGGGCCACGCCUUUUUCUCUAAAACCUAAAGGCCAUGCCUCCUUACUUGAGUCUGAUGCAGAGACACAGGAAGCCAUGCCUCGUUCUCUGGAACUAGGAAUGAUGCUAUUAGACACAAGAGGCCACGCCUCCUCUUUUUAAACUGACAAUAUGAGACACAGGAAACCACGCCUCCUUCUCCGAGACCCAAAGUCAUCAAAGGCCAGGCUUAAUUUUUGAGUCUAAUGCAGAAAAACAAAUUAGGCCACGCCUCCUUUUUUAAAAUUUGGAAUGAUGUUAUUAGCUAUAGGAAGCCAUGCCUCCUUCUUUAAAUCUUGCACUGAGACACAGGAGAAUGUACCUCCUAGGAGAGGCCACACCUCCUUCAUUUAAAUUCAAGGCCAUGUAUCCUUUUCUAAAACUGAUGCAUAUAGUCCACAGACCACACCUCCUUUACUAAAACUGAUUUGUAUAGACCAAAGGCCACACCACCAUUAUUUAAAUUGAUGCAUAUAAACCAGAAGCCACGCCUCCUUUACUUAAAUUAAUGCAUUUAGACCAGAGGCCACACCCCCUUCACUUAAACUGAUGCAUACACACCAGAGGCCGCACCUCACUUCUCGUCCUUCACACUUCCUUUCUCUUCCCUCUCUUUCUUUCUCUCUUUCUUCUUCUCUCAUUCUAUACUCGUUUACAUUCAUUUUCCUCUCCCCUUUUUUCAUGGUGUCCUUUUCUCUCUCUCUAUUCAAUAUUCUUAAAAAAGACUCUCUCUUUUUCUAUCUUUAGUUCCCUCUCUCUUUUCCCUCAUUCUUUCUGUGAUCUAAUGAGCAGUCAGGGCAAAUUUCAUCAUGGCUGCAUGUUCACUCCAUCUGUUCACUACACUGGGUAGAACACGACAGCAGUGUGAACACUACCUAGUGCACUAUGUAGUGUCAUGUGUUCCUGCAGUCCUAGGAGUUUAAUAUAGUGUGUGUGUGUGUGUGUGUGUGUGUGUGUGUGUGUGUGUGUGUGUGUGUGUGUGUGUGGGUGUGUGUGUGUAUAAAUUAGCCCACGGUGGCCACUUCCUGUUUUCUGAGAGCUGGGAGAAAUACGACGUGUCUAUUUUUACAUCUCUUCUUUUUCCCUUCCUUAGUUUUUCUGUCAUCUUUUGCCUCUCUCUCUCUCUCUCUCUCUCUCUCUCUCUCUCUCU